GCAAUGAUGAAAAUAGCAGAAUAUAGUACAAACUAGUAAUUGACAAACACAUAUAAAUACUUAGUUGUAAUGUAGAAGUAUGAAAGUUAGUCAUUCAUUGUUAUUUCAUUUUAUUUACAUACUUUGACUUAAAAGAAGUGCCGACACAUGUUACUACAAUCUUAACCCAUUCUUAUCGCAUAAAAUGUUUGUUUUGUUUAAAUUUCUUUGUUUUUGUUUUUUAUUUUUAGAGCUAUCGAAAGUAUCAAAUUUUCUUUAUGCUGCCAACUAAGGCCAUUGGAUAUUAAAGUUCUUUCUUUUCUUUGAGAGAUAAGUCAAAUCACCAACUUGCAACCCCCAUCUUUUUGUAUUAUCAACUCUCUCCCUAUAUCUCUUUACUCAGCACAAUAUUACUUUACACAAACCCUUCUCCAUUCAUCCUUAACUCUCUCUGAUCCUUUAGAGUGGGAUGAGAAGAAGCUUCGCUAGCUAAAACAUAUCCUAUUAUGUAAUGGACUCAUUAUGAUGUCUCGGUGAAGCAAUAUUUCCUUUUUCCACUGUAUGUCAAUACUUUACGUGGUAUGUGAUGAUUAUGCACCGCUAUAUGAUAUUUGUGCACUCACUUUUGUCAUCCCAAGAACGCGUAAUUUCCCUUAUCGUAAUGCAUGCCAUUUAACCUAAUUUACCCAACAUCUUCUUCAGCCUGUGUACUCUGUUACCACCUCUGCUUCGGCUGCAUGCAUAACCCCCACCAAGUACCUAGAACCCUCCACUACAACCGGGAAGUCUAAUGGGUAGUGGUAAAGAGAGGUAGGUGAUUAGGUUAAAAGGAGGUCUUUUAAGAUAACAACGUGGUAAUAACGCUGCUGACUCUAUUUCGUAGUAGUUGUGACUUACUAAGUUUUAAGGCCAAAAACUGUCAAAACAGCAGUUGUCUUGUGGUCCGACAAAGCGGAGCAAGAAAGACGGGAAGGGAGGAAUUAAGUGCCUUGGACUCCUCGGUUCAAAUCAAAUAAAGUAGGCACUUUUAAAAAACGGGACCGUUCCAUGUAGUGGUGGAAGAAGAGAGAGAACCUUGAAAAAAAGAAAAGAUAAAUAACAUAUAAUAUUUGUGUACAAAAUGAAAAAGAUGGAUUAAUUUCAAAGUUAAAGUGUAAGAGAAAAAAAUAAAGAAAAUUUGUUAUUUAUCUCAACCAAAAAAAAAAAAAAAAAAAGAAAAAGAAAAAAAAAGUAUUAAAGGAUUCCGUCAGGUUUGCACUUGUUGGAAAGCUAAAAAAUGUUUACAGAUCACCGGAUUUGGGCUAAUUGCGUGGAAUCCGUGAGUGCUGCCAAAGAGUAGCAGAUGGGAUGAGAUGAGAUGUGAUGCGAAUGUGAAUGUGAAUGUGAAAAAUUGUAAGCCAAAUGCUGUUUCUCACGAUAAAAACUAAAGAAAAGCAUACAUUGAAAAUUAGAAAAGAUAAAACAAGAAAAACAGAUUUGGUGCUUAUGCGCUGGUCGGUAAAACAGUUUUCCUUGGACUGAUAACAAGAGGGAUGGAUAAAUAAACACGCUCGCUGAUAACUUGUAAAAAAUAAUCAAAAUAAGAGUAAAUAAAAAUGAUAAAAUAAAAAACAACGAUAACAAGGGACGAGUGGGUGAAAGGAAAUUUUAUGUUUGCGUUUUCGUUGAACCAGCGCAGUACAGAAAUACAGAAAGAAUUGGGAAGUACAAUAACAGCUGGGAUGUGGGAUGUGGGAUUUAAUGGUAGGCAGGAUAGGGUAAGCAAUGCUGGGACAAAGAGAAAGAGGUGAGGGGGGUGAAAAAGUUUUGUGAAAGAAAGGAUUGUUUAUGCUACGGUUGGAGAAGAGAGGCGAGGGGAAGUGAGGAUGGCUUGGAUGUAGUAAGGAUAAUAGGAAAUUAGAAAUAAAAAAAAAAAAAAAUUUGGAUAUGAUACAUAAAUGGUAAAAAAUAAAUAAUAAAUUAAUAAUCA
Molecule: long non-coding RNA, 1948 nt
Filed under: Schizosaccharomyces pombe (fission yeast)
Lineage: Eukaryota; Fungi; Ascomycota; Schizosaccharomycetes; Schizosaccharomycetales; Schizosaccharomycetaceae
Source: RNAcentral